UUUUUCCCAGGAUUGCCUCAAGUUCUUAAAAGAAAUGCCUUCUGCAGCAACAAAUGAUGCAUCUGCCAAUCCUUUCCAACAUUCCAGCUCUGUCAUGAAUCUUUAUCUAGAGACAAGUUCUACUCUUUUGAAGGUCCUUCAAGCCCAUUCUGGCCAGCUCAUCUCCCACCAACUUUCUGAGAAUUGAGAAGGUUGCAGGCAUCAUCUGUGCAUGUUAAUCUAAGAUUGCAAAAUGGUGGAGCACAUUACGAACCUUGCUGGGAACAAAUCUCUAGUUCUGCCUGUGCCUGCAUUUAACGUCAUCAAUGGAGGAUCACAUGGUUUCACUGUUAACCUGAAUUUUGCGAACCUUGCUGGGAACAGAACUCGGACAUGUUUCCGAGGGGGUAAAACCCAAAGGCAGGGGAGCUCCGAAGAAGGCUCCUGCUAGAAAGGUGUACAUAUAACUAUUAUGUUGGCAUUGUACUUUUGUGAAUGGAAAUGAAUGAUUGUGUUUGAUUGAAUGAAUGAAUGAUUUAGCCAUGAAUUGGAUCUUGCUUAUAUGAGUUAUCAGGGUGUAC
This is a long non-coding RNA of Magnolia sinica, 560 nucleotides long. RefSeq lists it as uncharacterized. NCBI's taxonomy places the organism in Eukaryota, Viridiplantae, Streptophyta, Magnoliopsida, Magnoliales, Magnoliaceae. The transcript is spliced from 5 exons. The record is from RefSeq and is a predicted model, not a curated record.